CGUGUAGGCGGUUCGUUAAGUCUGAUGUGAAAGCCCUGGGCUCAACCCAGGAAGUGCAUUGGAAACUGGCGAACUUGAGUACGGGAGAGGAAAGUGGAAUUCCGAGUGUAGGGGUGAAAUCCGUAGAUAUUCGGAGGAACACCAGUGGCGAAGGCGGCUUUCUGGACCGAUACUGACGCUGAGACGCGAAAGCGUGGGGAGCAAACAGGAUUAGAUACCCUGGUAGUCC
RNAcentral lists this ribosomal RNA (229 nucleotides) under uncultured bacterium. RNAcentral describes it as "partial 16S ribosomal RNA". It matches the Rfam family "Bacterial small subunit ribosomal RNA", at positions 568 to 796 of the family's 1533-position model. The record is from RNAcentral.